Molecule: ribosomal RNA, 255 nt
Filed under: uncultured bacterium
Lineage: Bacteria
Description: partial 16S ribosomal RNA
Rfam family: Bacterial small subunit ribosomal RNA
Source: RNAcentral
UACGUAGGGUGCGAGCGUUAAUCGGAAUUACUGGGCGUAAAGCGUGCGCAGGCGGUCUGUUAAGACCGAUGUGAAAUCCCCGGGCUUAACCUGGGAACUGCAUUGGUGACUGGCAGGCUUUGAGUGUGGCAGAGGGAGGUAGAAUUCCACGUGUAGCAGUGAAAUGCGUAGAGAUGUGGAGGAAUACCGAUGGCGAAGGCAGCCUCCUGGGCCAACACUGACGCUCGAUGCACGAAAGCGUGGGGAGCAAACAGG